RNAcentral lists this ribosomal RNA (775 nucleotides) under uncultured Neocallimastigales. Its description in RNAcentral is "partial large subunit ribosomal RNA". It matches the Rfam family "Eukaryotic large subunit ribosomal RNA", at positions 24 to 649 of the family's 3401-position model. The record is from RNAcentral. Lineage: Eukaryota; Fungi; Neocallimastigomycota; Neocallimastigomycetes; Neocallimastigales.
AUCUCUGUAGAGUCUGCAUAUCAAUAAGCGGAGGAAAAGAAACUAACUAGGAUUCCCUCAGUAACGGCGAGUGAAGCGGGAAGAGCUCAAAUUUGAAAUCUUCAAGGUUCUACCUUGACGAAUUGUAGUUUAUAGAAGUGUUUUCUGUAGUGGAGUUUGGUAAAAGUUCUUUGGAAUAGGACAUCAUAGAGGGUGAGAAUCCCGUAUUUGACCAUUAUUUCCAACUUUGUGAUACACUUUCAAAGAGUCGGAUUGUUUGGGAAUGCAGUCCCAAAAUGGGUGGUAAAUUUCAUCUAAAGCUAAAUAUUGGCGAGAGACCGAUAGCGAACAAGUACCGUGAGGGAAAGAUGAAAAGAACUUUGAAAAGAGAGUUAAACAGUACGUGAAAUUGUCAAAAGGGAAGCGUUUGACACCAGUGUUGUUUUUCCGAAAAUCAAUUACGAAUGUUUUAUUUUUGAGGAGUUAUGACUUCAUCGGCUUGCUCCUUUCUUUAUGAAACUUUCUUAAUGCACUUUUCGGUUAACAAGUCAACAUCAAUUUCUUUUGUUGUAAAAGGGUAUGAGGAAGGUGGCUUUCUUUUCGGAGAAAGUGUUUAUAGCCUUGUGCCUCUGCAAUCGGAGAGAUUGAGGUCUGCAGCGUAGAUCCUUCGGGGUUAGAUACAUUUGUGCUAAGUUAUAGCUUUUCAUAGACAACUUGUUGACUAUGUUUAGUCUUGUAGCUUACUCGCUUAUGCUAUUUUACCUACGCUUAGGAUGUUGAGUAGCGACAUACGCAC